UACUCGAGUGGCGAACGGGUGAGUAACACGUGGGUGAUCUGCCCUGCACUUCGGGAUAAGCUUGGGAAACUGGGUCUAAUACCGGAUAGGAACCAUCUUUAGUGUGGUGGUUGGAAAGUUUUUUCGGUGUAGGAUGAGCUCGCGGCAUAUCAGCUUGUUGGUGGGGUAAUGGCCUACCAAGGCGGCGACGGGUAGCCGGCCUGAGAGGGUGUACGGCCACAUUGGGACUGAGAUACGGCCCAG
Molecule: ribosomal RNA, 243 nt
Filed under: uncultured Actinomycetales bacterium
Lineage: Bacteria; Bacillati; Actinomycetota; Actinomycetes; Actinomycetales
Description: partial 16S ribosomal RNA
Rfam family: Bacterial small subunit ribosomal RNA
Source: RNAcentral